UGCAGUCGAACGAUGACCCUCCGCUUGCGGGGGUGAUUAGUGGCGAACGGGUGAGUAACACGUGAGUAACCUGCCCUUGACUCUGGGAUAAGCCUGGGAAACCGGGUCUAAUACCGGAUAUGUACCCCCUGCCGCAUGGUGGGGGGUGGAAAGCCUUGUGCGGUUUUGGAUGGACUCGCGGCCUAUCAGCUUGUUGGUGGGGUAAUGGCCCACCAAGGCGACGACGGGUAGCCGGCCUGAGAGGGUGACCGGCCACACUGGGACUGAGACACGGCCCAGACUCCUACGGGAGGCAGCAGUGGGGAAUAUUGCACAAUGGGCGCAAGCCUGAUGCAGCGACGCCGCGUGAGGGAUGACGGCCUUCGGGUUGUAAACCUCUUUCAGUAGGGAAGAAGCGAAAGUGACGGUACCUGCAGAAGAAGCGCCGGCUAACUACGUGCCAGCAGCCGCGGUAAUACGUAGGGCGCAAGCGUUAUCCGGAAUUAUUGGGCGUAAAGAGCUCGUAGGCGGUUUGUCGCGUCUGCCGUGAAAGUCCGGGGCUCAACCCCGGAUCUGCGGUGGGUACGGGCAGACUAGAGUGAUGUAGGGGAGACUGGAAUUCCUGGUGUAGCGGUGAAAUGCGCAGAUAUCAGGAGGAACACCGAUGGCGAAGGCAGGUCUCUGGGCAUUAACUGACGCUGAGGAGCGAAAGCAUGGGGAGCGAACAGGAUUAGAUACCCUGGUAGUCCAUGCCGUAAACGUUGGGCACUAGGUGUGGGGGACAUUCCACGUUUUCCGCGCCGUAGCUAACGCAUUAAGUGCCCCGCCUGGGGAGUACGGCCGCAAGCUAAAACUCAAGGAAUUGACGG
RNAcentral lists this ribosomal RNA (848 nucleotides) under Arthrobacter pascens. RNAcentral describes it as "bacterial SSU rRNA". It matches the Rfam family "Bacterial small subunit ribosomal RNA", at positions 56 to 916 of the family's 1533-position model. The record is from RNAcentral. Lineage: Bacteria; Bacillati; Actinomycetota; Actinomycetes; Micrococcales; Micrococcaceae.